Molecule: long non-coding RNA, 1136 nt
Organism: Dioscorea cayenensis subsp. rotundata (Guinea yam)
Lineage: Eukaryota; Viridiplantae; Streptophyta; Magnoliopsida; Dioscoreales; Dioscoreaceae
Exons: 4
Source: RefSeq, a predicted model, not a curated record
AGUUAAUACUAUUUAUACUAGUAUUUAUUUAUUUAUUUAUGUUAUUUCAUUCUUCUUCAUGUAAACAAAAUUUGGACAAACAUGGUACUUGGAAGUUGGAACAUAUACAUAAAAAUAAGUAGUUUAAGGUUUAAAGCAUGCACUAGUCACAAUCUCAUUUCAUACAAAUCACAGCAUGAGUGGAUUACUGCGUUCGUAACAAGGAACAUAUGCAUCUAUCAAAUCAUGAUAUAUAACACAAAGUUUGAUCUUGUUUUUGUUAGUACUGUUGACAUCAGAAGCACUAGAAGUAUCAAUCAUAUCACAACCAGGGAAGAGUGGAGAUGAAUCUGUCCUAUCAUGAGAUAAUGUAAUCAUUGCAGAAUCCAGCCAAUUUCUGACUAAAGCUGCUUCCCCUUCCUUGUUAUCACACAUUGUAAAAUGGGAGCAAACCAAGGUGCACUGGUUUAAUGGCAAUGGCCAAAAGCAAGGGUGGAGACACCAAGGAAAGAAUAGGAGAGAAAAAAAGUUAAGUGGUUUCUCAGCUUUUUGAGAUUUCAGGUUAACCAAAGGUGACAACUGCACACAUCCUAUCAGAUGUCUCAUUUGUUGUUCCCAGAUUUAUGAAUGAUGAUGUCAAAUAAACCUAUGGCAGUGUGAUGCACAACCUCUGUUACAUUGGUUCCUGCACUUGCCCUUCAAUUGAAGCUUUGCUUGAAAGUUAAAAGAAAUUGUUUAUAUUAUCUAAUCAUAUAUAUAGUUCUUUAAAAACUUUGGUAUUUGUUAGCGUUUUUGUUUUGUUUUUUUUUCAAAAUGUUUUUUUUUUUUUAAUAAUGUGUCAUCACACAUACUUUCUAAGAUCUCAAUUAUGCACGAGCAGGGAGUCCUCCCUUAGACUUCUCUAUGGGAGUUAAAUGUUUUAUCUACUCGGCCAUUGUGUUGGUGGCUAAAUGCUCUUUAAACAUAAGUUUCUUUCAUUUAUUCAAAUUUUUUUUCUUUGGAUGAAAGGGUAAAUCUUAUGUUGUUGUUUGUAAUUAUCAUCAUUAAAGAUAAAAUUGAAGUUGUAUAUAUAUACAGUGCAAAAGUAAGUGCACCAGUAUAAUGGUCAAGCUGUAAAGCAUUUGAUAUUCAUACAGGAGGUCGAGGAUUUCACUUUC